RNAcentral lists this transfer RNA (64 nucleotides) under Cavia porcellus (domestic guinea pig). It matches the Rfam family "tRNA". Rfam says of the family: Transfer RNA (tRNA) molecules are approximately 80 nucleotides in length. Their secondary structure includes four short double-helical elements and three loops (D, anti-codon, and T loops). Further hydrogen bonds mediate the characteristic L-shaped molecular structure. tRNAs have two regions of fundamental functional importance: the anti-codon, which is responsible for specific mRNA codon recognition, and the 3' end, to which the tRNAs corresponding amino acid is attached (by aminoacyl-tRNA synthetases). tRNAs cope with the degeneracy of the genetic code in two manners: having more than one tRNA (with a specific anti-codon) for a particular amino acid; and 'wobble' base-pairing, i.e. permitting non-standard base-pairing at the 3rd anti-codon position. Lineage: Eukaryota; Metazoa; Chordata; Mammalia; Rodentia; Caviidae. The record is from Rfam by way of RNAcentral.
GGGGAUUUAGCUAAGCAGCUUAAGCGCAUGCCUGGCAAGCAUGAGGUUGUGAGUUCAAUCCCUG